GCGACAGUGGCUCAGUUGGUAGAGCACGACCUUGCCAAGGUCGGGGUCGCGGGUUCGAACCCCGUCUGUCGCU
This 73-nucleotide transfer RNA is filed under the name Dorea sp. CAG:317. It matches the Rfam family "tRNA". Rfam says of the family: Transfer RNA (tRNA) molecules are approximately 80 nucleotides in length. Their secondary structure includes four short double-helical elements and three loops (D, anti-codon, and T loops). RNAcentral also lists the same sequence under 9 other names. The record is from Rfam by way of RNAcentral. Lineage: Bacteria; Bacillati; Bacillota; Clostridia; Lachnospirales; Lachnospiraceae.